UACGUAGGUGGCAAGCGUUGUCCGGAUUUACUGGGCGUAAAGAGCGCGCAGGCGGUCGGAUCAGUCGAAUGUGAAAGCCCCCGGCUCAACUGGGGAGGGUCAUUCGAUACUGUCCGACUCGAAGGCAGGAGAGGGAAGCGGAAUUCCCGGUGUAGUGGUGAAAUUCGUAGAUAUUGGGAAGAACACCGGUGGCGAAGGCGGCGACCUGGUCCGAUACUGACGCUGAGGCGCGAAAGCGUGGGGAGCAAACAGG
RNAcentral lists this ribosomal RNA (253 nucleotides) under uncultured bacterium. Its description in RNAcentral is "partial 16S ribosomal RNA". It matches the Rfam family "Bacterial small subunit ribosomal RNA", at positions 524 to 776 of the family's 1533-position model. The record is from RNAcentral.